CGGUGAUUUUUAGGGAACUCAACUGCCAUCCCACUAUUCGCAUGUCUUUGACAGUCUCUCCUUUCUCGUGCGUGAUCUUUGGUGGUAUUCAAAGUUUCAAAUUACUUAUCCUAAAGCAUAUUAUCUUCCUUGUUGACCGAUAAUUCUUUCUUCCUUUUUUCUUCAUUUUGGGGUUGAUUAAUGAUGAUUUACUGCAUUAUGAUGUUUGUUUACUAGAAUACUUUAAAUUUUAGUAUGCAU
RNAcentral lists this long non-coding RNA (240 nucleotides) under Elaeis guineensis (African oil palm). RNAcentral's name for it is "long non-coding RNA (EGUI_LNC032723)". Lineage: Eukaryota; Viridiplantae; Streptophyta; Magnoliopsida; Arecales; Arecaceae. The record is from RNAcentral.